GGACACCAGCCCCCCACAGAUGGCACCCCAGGGGUCACACCAGUCCUUCUGUUUUUACAUCAGCAGAUAACAGGCUUUUACUGUGGAGACUUUUGGGGCCCUGGACACCUUUGUGAACCUGGCCUGGAGCAGAAGCUGGAGCCUGGGCCUUGGCUGGAGCCCAGGCCUUUGGCCGGCAAGAUUUUCAACUCUUUGAAGGAUAACUACUCAUCAUUUGGCAGUGGAAGACUGGAUCAAAGUGCCUGGCACCUACUAGGCUCCUGGCGGAGACCUGUGUAACAACUGAGCGUUGAAGCUCAGGAACUUGACUGAGGCUCCUUGGGCCUCUCAGAGGACGUGGCUUGAAGAAGUAUACAGCUCCUGUGAGGCAGCCACCCUCACUGCAUGAAGCAGGAUCCUUUUUCUGAAGAGAGAAGACUGGCUUCAGGUUUUGAGGUCCUUUGAGUUUCCUGUUCUCAAACCGUGUGGCCUCAGGUGAAGCCAGGUCAGAGGAAAGGUAAUUUCCCACAAGUCCUGCAACUAGCGGCAGACCUGCUCAGAUAUGAUGGCCCUUGGGGUCAGACCUGACCCCAAGCUGUGUAGACAAGAGUCAGCUGAAGGGGACUGUGUGGGUCUUAUGAGAAUGGUCAUGCUUCCGUAAAACAUCAUCCAGCACAUCCGUAUAUGCCCAGCGCCAUAGAUGUGGUUUCUACAGAAAGGAGAAAAUGUACAAAACAGACAUACAUUUAUGUGUAUGAGAGAAACAUGCAUUCAUUUAAGAAAUAAUUCCUUACAUACCUUGAGAAUACUUCA
Octodon degus (degu) is the source of this 792-nucleotide long non-coding RNA. RefSeq lists it as uncharacterized. The transcript has 3 exons. The record is from RefSeq and is a predicted model, not a curated record. NCBI's taxonomy places the organism in Eukaryota, Metazoa, Chordata, Mammalia, Rodentia, Octodontidae.